Boleophthalmus pectinirostris (great blue-spotted mudskipper) is the source of this 100-nucleotide long non-coding RNA. RefSeq lists it as uncharacterized. The record is from RefSeq and is a predicted model, not a curated record. NCBI's taxonomy places the organism in Eukaryota, Metazoa, Chordata, Actinopteri, Gobiiformes, Gobiidae. The transcript has 2 exons.
UGGGCAUUAUAUUUCUUAUUAUUUUCAGUGUUAUCCUAGAUUCAGUUUCUUCUCUGAAUGAUCAGGUCCACCAGACGCCAAAGGACAUAUACAACACAAA